GGGGAAUAUUGGUCAAUGGGGGAAACCCUGAACCAGCAAUGCCGCGUGAAGGAAGAAGGCUUUCGGGUUGUAAACUUCUUUUAUCAGGGAAGAGUAGAAGACUGUACCUGAUGAAUAAGCCACGGCUAACUACGUGCCAGCAGCCGCGGUAAUACGUAGGUGGCAAGCGUUGUCCGGAUUUACUGGGUGUAAAGGGCGUGUAGCCGGGAAGGCAAGUCAGAUGUGAAAUUCAUGGGCUCAACCCAUGACCUGCAUUUGAAACUGUUUUUCUUGAGUAUCGGAGAGGCAAUCGGAAUUCCUAGUGUAGCGGUGAAAUGCGUAGAUAUUAGGAGGAACACCAGUGGCGAAGGCGGAUUGCUGGACGACAACUGACGGUGAGGCGCGAAAGCGUGGGGAGCAAAC
Molecule: ribosomal RNA, 402 nt
Filed under: uncultured bacterium
Lineage: Bacteria
Description: bacterial SSU rRNA
Rfam family: Bacterial small subunit ribosomal RNA
Source: RNAcentral